GGAAAGAGAUGACGCGAGGAAAACAAAAGAUCGAAGCGCAGAGGCGAAACGCUGAGAAGAAUCAAAAGCCAAAGGGUUCUCAGCUGGAGGCCAGAGCUGUAGCCCUCAAAGUCAGCUGCCCUAUCUGCAAGAGUUUGUAGACCGGAAGCCCUAAUGGGCAGGGAUGAGAUCUGCAAAUUUUGUAGACCAGAAGCCCUAAUGGGUAGGAAAGAGAUCUGCAAGUGCAAUUAGCAAAUGAAAAACAACUUGGUGAUCAUUAUGGCUCUAAACAUCCAAAGGAAAACCCUCCUGCUGUGUCAAGUUGAUUGCUUUCUUCGCAUGUAAAAGAAGGAAAAGAACAAAUUAUCUUUUCCUGUGUGAUUCUAGAUAUUGUAUGUUAACCGUCUUUAAAAAAAUAAUAAUUUAAACCAAUGAAAAUGACUCUUUUAUCUA
Gossypium arboreum is the source of this 432-nucleotide long non-coding RNA. RefSeq lists it as uncharacterized. Lineage: Eukaryota; Viridiplantae; Streptophyta; Magnoliopsida; Malvales; Malvaceae. The record is from RefSeq and is a predicted model, not a curated record. The transcript has 4 exons.